UAGGUGUACUGGGUAUCCUGAGAUCCUGA
Molecule: non-coding RNA, 29 nt
Filed under: Rattus norvegicus (Norway rat)
Lineage: Eukaryota; Metazoa; Chordata; Mammalia; Rodentia; Muridae
Source: RNAcentral